AAGUCGUAACAAGGUUUCCGUAGGUGAACCUGCGGAAGGAUCAUUAACACGUAUCCACGUAUCCACCCCUCGUGCACUGUUUUCACAACCUCCCUAGGGAGCUUCGACAGGAGUUGGAAGGGAAUUUGAGCGUUUGAAUGGGAGAAGUCUUUAUUGACUCCUCAGCUCAAGUUCCCCCAUCAGCUGAGCAAUCAGCGUACAACUGGAGUCGACUCUUCUAGGCCACUAUUCUUCUUAUAAGAAUCUCUCUCCAUUCAAGAGAGGCCUUAUAAGAUGUUUAACACACCCCUUUCACCCCCUUUUUGCUAGUUGACUUUUUAUAUGUUGUUACACGUAGAUUCAUUUCUACUGUUUCACACGUUUAAUUACUUGAACGUUAAAAAAACAACUCUUAGCAAUGGAUAUCUUGGUUCUC
RNAcentral lists this unclassified non-coding RNA (415 nucleotides) under fungal sp. RNAcentral's name for it is "partial internal transcribed spacer region". The stretch from base 1 to 46 matches the Rfam family "Eukaryotic small subunit ribosomal RNA", at positions 1786 to 1831 of the family's 1831-position model. The record is from RNAcentral. Lineage: Eukaryota; Fungi.